Molecule: ribosomal RNA, 468 nt
Filed under: uncultured bacterium
Lineage: Bacteria
Description: partial 16S ribosomal RNA
Rfam family: Bacterial small subunit ribosomal RNA
Source: RNAcentral
GACGAGCGCUGGCGGCGUGCUUAACACAUGCAAGUCGAACGGAAAGGCCCUGCUUUUGUGGGGUGCUCGAGUGGCGAACGGGUGAGUAACACGUGAGUAACCUGCCCUUGACUUUGGGAUAACUUCAGGAAACUGGGGCUAAUACCGGAUAGGAGCUCCUGCUGCAUGGUGGGGGUUGGAAAGUUUCGGCGGUUGGGGAUGGACUCGCGGCUUAUCAGCUUGUUGGUGGGGUAGUGGCUUACCAAGGCUUUGACGGGUAGCCGGCCUGAGAGGGUGACCGGCCACAUUGGGACUGAGAUACGGCCCAGACUCCUACGGGAGGCAGCAGUGGGGAAUAUUGCACAGUGGGCGGAAGCCUGAUGCAGCAACGCCGCGUGCGGGAUGACGGCCUUCGGGUUGUAAACCGCUUUCGCCUGUGACGAAGCGUGAGUGACGGUAAUGGGUAAAGAAGCACCGGCUAACUACGUG